This 723-nucleotide long non-coding RNA is filed under the name Mustela putorius furo (domestic ferret). RNAcentral's name for it is "lncRNA (ENSMPUG00000025413.1)". Lineage: Eukaryota; Metazoa; Chordata; Mammalia; Carnivora; Mustelidae. The record is from RNAcentral.
GGAGAGCUCCUCAUGCGCAGAACCGGAAAUGGAGAGCUCCUCAUGCGCAGAACCGGAAACCGAAAGCCUCUCCUAGUUUAUUACUCUCUACGUUGUCUGUGGUCUACGUUGUCUGUGAUUCUAUCAGAUUUUAUUGACUUCUUUGGGAGAGAGAGCUGCGAGCAGGGAGGGGCAGAGAUGGAAGGAGAAAGAAUGGGAAGCGGACUCUGCACUGAGUGUGGAGCCUGACAUGGGGCUCGAUCCCAUCACUGCCGCAAGAUCAUGACCUGAGCCCAAAUCAAGGGUUGGAUGCCUAGCUAACUGCAUCACCCCAGGACCCUUAAUUUAUUCAUUUUUAAAAUUUGUUCCUAUUUUCUCAUUCAGGUGUAAUGUAUAUACAGUAAAUGUACCCUUUUUAAAGUAGAAUUCUGCAUCUGACAAACAGUAAGGUAACUCUCACCACAAUCAAGUUACAGAACGUCCCUAACCCUCCGUAUGUGCCCCUGCUUCUUGGUAGUUAGCUUCGCCCUCCUCCACAGGCCCUGGAAACCGAUCAUCUCCUUUCCAUUUCUAUAGUGCUUUUUCCAGAAGGUUAUAGAAAUGGAAUCAUACAGUAUGCAGACUUCGGCUUUUUUUCAUUUGCCCUGAUACGUUUGAGAUUUACCUUGCAUGUAUCAGUCACUUGUUCCUUUUUAUUAAUGAGUACUACUGAAUUUUAUGGCUCUUCUACUUGGUACAUCUAUU